This 1330-nucleotide ribosomal RNA is filed under the name Drepanepteryx phalaenoides. RNAcentral describes it as "16S ribosomal RNA". Lineage: Eukaryota; Metazoa; Arthropoda; Insecta; Neuroptera; Hemerobiidae. The record is from RNAcentral.
AUUUUUUUUGUAAUUAAAUUAUUAAGUAUAAAUUUUUAUAUUUAAUUUUAAUAAAAAAAAUUUUAUAGAAUUUUUGUUUUUGUAUAAAUUAUAGAUUAAAUAAUAAUAAUGAUAAUAAAUUUGUAUAGUAAUAGAUAUUUGAAAUAUAUUUUUAUUAUUUUGUAAGUAAAUUUAAUUUAUUGUACCUUUUGUAUCAGGGUUUAUUAAUUUAAUUUUUUGUAUUAAAAUUUCUCGAAUUAAAGAGAUUUAAAAUUAUAAUAAAUUUAUUAUUGUAAAAAUAUUUUUAAUAUAAUUUUAGUAAUGAAAUGUUAAUCGUUCUUUAUAUAUCUAGUUUUUUAAAAAAUGAAUUUAAUUCAUAUAUUUACAGUAAUUAUUUUUUUUUUGUAAAAUUUAAUUAAAAUAAAUAUAAAAAUUUUUAGGGAUUAGCUUAAAAAUUUAAUUUAUAAUAAAAUUUAUUAUUAUAAUAAAAUUAAUAAAAUUAGAAAUUUUUAUUUAUGAAAAAAAUGUUAUAAUCAAUUUUGUUAAAAAUGUAAUUUAUUAAUAAGUUUAAAUUUUUUAUUAAAAAAAUAAAUUUAAUAAUUAAUUUAUUUUAUAAUGAUAAAAUUAGUAUUAAUUUAUUUAUUUAUAUAAAUUUAAUUUAGAUUAAAAUAAGGAAUUCAGCAAAAUAAUAGUAUUCACCUGUUUAUCAAAAACAUGUCUUUUUGUUAAUAAUUUAAAGUCUAACCUGCCCACUGAUUAAUUUUUAAAGGCCGCAGUAUAUUGACUGUGCAAAGGUAGCAUAAUCAUUUGUCUUUUAAUUGAAGGCUGGAAUGAAUGGUUGAAUGAAAUACUAACUGUCUCAAUUUAAUAAAUUAAUAAUUUAGCUUUUAAAUUAAAAGGUUUAAAUUAUAUUAAAAGACGAGAAGACCCUAUAGAUUUUUAUAAUUUUAUUAAUAAUUUUAUUUAGUAAAAAAAAAUUAAUUAUAAGAAAAAUUAUUUGAUUGGGGUGAUUAGAAAAUUUAAUAAACUUUUUUUAAUUUUAAACAUUGAUUAAUGAUUAAUUGAUCCAGUAAUAUUGAUUAAAAGAUUAAAUUACCUUAGGGAUAACAGCGUAAUUUUUUUAAAGAGUUCUUAUCGAUAAAAAAGAUUGCGACCUCGAUGUUGAAUUAAAGGUUAUUUUUAAAUGUAGAAGUUUAAAGUUUAGGUCUGUUCGACCUUUGAAUCUUUACAUGAUUUGAGUUCAGACCGGUGUAAGCCAGGUCGGUUUCUAUCUUUAAUAAAUUAAAAUAUUUUAGUACGAAAGGACCAAAUAUUAAAAAAAUUUUUUUUAAAAUUGAAUAUUAUUAAUAUA